Molecule: non-coding RNA, 87 nt
Filed under: Thiorhodococcus drewsii
Lineage: Bacteria; Pseudomonadati; Pseudomonadota; Gammaproteobacteria; Chromatiales; Chromatiaceae
Description: SAH sequence
Rfam family: SAH (S-adenosyl-L-homocysteine) riboswitch aptamer
Source: RNAcentral
UUCGCCGAGGAGCGUUGCGACCCGGAUCUUCAGGAUCUUGGCCAGGCUCGGUGAUGGGGUCGACAUUUCAAACGGCGCUCACUCACG